AGAGUUUGAUCCUGGCUCAGAACGAACGCUGGCGGCAUGCCUAACACAUGCAAGUCGGACGCUUUUGAGGUUUCGGCCUCAAGGGAGUGGCGGACGGGUGAGUAGCGCGUGGGAACCUGCCCCUUUGUGGGGGAUAACCGAGGGAAACUUCGGCUAAUACCGCAUGCGCCCCGGAGCAAUCCGGGGGAAAGAUUUAUCGCAGAGGGAGGGGCCCGCGUCGGAUUAGGUAGUUGGUGGGGUAACGGCCUACCAAGCCUGUGAUCCGUAGCUGGUCUGAGAGGAUGAUCAGCCACACUGGGACUGAGACACGGCCCAGACUCCUACGGGAGGCAGCAGUGGGGAAUAUUGGACAAUGGGCGCAAGCCUGAUCCAGCAAUGCCGCGUGAGUGAUGAAGGCCUUAGGGUUGUAAAGCUCUUUCGGUGGGGACGAUGAUGACGGUACCCGCAGAAGAAGCCCCGGCUAACUUCGUGCCAGCAGCCGCGGUAAUACGAAGGGGGCGAGCGUUGUUCGGAUUUACUGGGCGUAAAGGGCGCGUAGGCGGCGGACCAAGUCGAGUGUGAAAGCCCCGGGCUCAACCUGGGAGGUGCGCUCGAGACUGGUCUGCUUGAGUUCGGGAGAGGAGCGUGGAAUUCCCAGUGUAGAGGUGAAAUUCGUAGAUAUUGGGAAGAACACCGGUGGCGAAGGCGGCGCUCUGGACCGAGACUGACGCUGAGGCGCGAAAGCGUGGGGAGCAAACAGGAUUAGAUACCCCAGUAGUCC
RNAcentral lists this ribosomal RNA (760 nucleotides) under uncultured bacterium. RNAcentral's name for it is "bacterial SSU rRNA". It matches the Rfam family "Bacterial small subunit ribosomal RNA", at positions 8 to 796 of the family's 1533-position model. The record is from RNAcentral.